This is a long non-coding RNA of Raphanus sativus (radish), 1500 nucleotides long. RefSeq lists it as uncharacterized. NCBI's taxonomy places the organism in Eukaryota, Viridiplantae, Streptophyta, Magnoliopsida, Brassicales, Brassicaceae. The transcript has 6 exons. The record is from RefSeq and is a predicted model, not a curated record.
AACUUUUAACAGAUCGAGACAGUAAAAAACAAAUUUCUCUCCGAUGGCGAUGCAUUAUUCAUCCUCUCGACCUCAGCCAGUCGACUCGUUCCUCUCCGAUAUUCCAUGUUAUACGAUAUCUAUGGAAAAGAAAAAAAAACACGGCAACAUCGGCAAAUAUGGAUAAAUUCCUUAAUUACCUACGGAAUAUCAAACGUGUGAAGGUUUCUACAAACGACAUGGGGGAACUUGGAAGCGACAUAUAUAUUCUCAAAGAACAGAUGGGUUACCAAACUCAACAGUGAGUAUUUAUACAAACCAUAGCUGGAAAGUAUUCACUUAUGAAACCAUACUUCAACGUGACUUCCGAAACCAGACAACAGUAGGAAAACAAAAAGAUAAUUUGAUGGAGCUGCAGAAGUAUUUAUACUGUUUUCAACGUCAAUAAAAACAGAUAAGUCAUUUUCUUUAAAGUUUUGUCAUUUAGUAGUUGGGUCAAGUUGCCAACUUUUGAUGAAAAUAUAUCUAUGUUGUUAUGCAUAUGGUUCUUAGUUUUGUUUGUAGGAUCUUAAAAUAUAGAAAGUUAAACUUACAUUUGCAUCAGAUAGUAUUAGUUCCAAAGAUUCUACCACAUCUUUAAUGAAAUGUCUCCAUGUAUGGAGGAUUUUCACUUCUAUGCGCCAAGCAGUCUUGCGUGGUUUGAUUUGGUUCAAGAAAGCGGGGUUUGAUUUGGUUCAAGAAAGAGAGUUGCAAAUUGUUAGCCAUUGGGUGUGUUUAGACUUGUUUGAGGUAUAGGGUGGAAACCGAUGUUAUAUUUAUAUUAGGAGAGGCUACAGAGGUUGUAGGUUACGCUAAUUUAGGGUAAAUAUUAUGGAGAUUUAAUUAGAUAUGUUAGUUUGUUGAUUAAGGAAUAUACUGCGAGUAUAUAGCAAUAAAAAUCUAAUUAGGUGAUAAGGAGAUCGAAAUUAAUUAUGAUAUUAAAUAAACUUGUACACCAAUUAAUUAUGAUAUUAAAUAAACUUGGACACCAAGAAAUCAAGUUUCCUUAUUAAUUAUUAAAAAUAAGGAGAUCGAAAUUAAUUAUGAUAUUAAAUAAACUUUUUUUAACGUCUAGAUAUUAAAUAAACUUGUACACCGAAUAAUUGAUAUAUUUUCGGAAAUCUGGUGUUCAAUAUCGUAUGUACAAUAUACUGUUGGCUGUUAAUCAUUUUAGAAUAUUUCAUGGUUUAAUGGUUCAGAUGUCAUAGUAUAUUUGGUAUAAUUGGAUUAUUUAGCCAGCUAUAUUAAACAAUGUCUAGAUAGGUGUAAUGGUUUUGAGUAAUUGACAUUUUGUACUUUUGAUGUAGGAUUUUUCAUAUUGGAGAAGAAGACACGUAAUGGUAAUAAUAUGGCUGCAUUCUCCAUCUAAACUGAUACAUUGGAAGAGAUUUAGAACUUUGUAUAUAGUAUGGUUAAUAAGAUGUAUUUGUAUAAGCUUUGAUGGUAUUAAUUUUGAUCCAUUUAAAAAAAAUUGAAAUUGUA